AAGGUGUUUGGAGGCAUCUGAAUGGGAAGCUCAGAAUUGUUUUGCUUAGUUUUAGACACCCAGCACUAUCAGGUGGCUGAUCUCUCUGGGUUUCCUCUCCUCCAGAAGGAAUGCUCAAGUGCUGCCAGCUUGCAGAGACAAUAUUGCAACAUCCUUUUACAGUCUCUUCACGGCCCAGAAGGAGGAAAGAAAAUGAAGAAGAGAACAAAUAUUAUGGCAUCCUUGCUUUCCUGAGGCUGGUAAUCCAGCCAGUUGCAGUCUCAGCCUCUAAGAGCUCAGUUUUCCCAGUAGCUUUAGGAAUAUUUCCUGCAGGCUUGCCUCUCUGAU
This 327-nucleotide long non-coding RNA is filed under the name Parus major (Great Tit). RNAcentral describes it as "lncRNA (ENSPMJG00000018611.1)". Lineage: Eukaryota; Metazoa; Chordata; Aves; Passeriformes; Paridae. The record is from RNAcentral.